AAACCGCUUAGGGGUUAAACCCGAUGAACCUGAAUAUCUGAAUUGAGAAAUUCAAUAUUAUGUUUGUGAUUAUUAUUUUAAUUAUAAACUGAUAUGCACUUUUCUCAUAGUAGGACAUUGCGAUCCAUUAGUAUUUGCUAUAUUUUAUAUAUGCAAUUUAAUUUAUCAAACGGCCCGCAUGUUAUAAGCUUGUUCUAGCUGUAAUAGUUCUCUGAAUUAUUAUAUGAACAAAUUCGUUGUGGUGACCCGAUAAAUAGCUGAUGGAGCUUAAUAAUCAUGCAAACAUACAUAUGUAUCACGGUUUAAAUAUAUUAUAUAUUUGAAUGCAGAGAUGGCAUGUAUUUGAUUAGCAAUGCGAUAGAUUUGGGAUACCUUCGGGACCCGUCUUGAAACACGGACCAAGAAGUCUAACAUGUGUGCAAGUCAUUGGGUAUUGUUUUGUUGAAACCUAAAGGCGAAAUUAAAAUAACUAUAAUGGGAUUACAAGUGAUUUUUAUUAAAAUCGCUUCUCCAUCCCGGGGCGUUCUAUACGAACAUGAUUUAAGCAAUUAGAUCCUCUGUUCAAGAGCGUACCUUGAGCAUACAUGCUGUGACCCGAAAGAUGGUGAACUAUACCUGAUCAGGUUGAAGUCAGGGGAAACCCUGAUGGAGGACUGAAGCAGUUCUGACGUGCAAAUCGAUUGUCAGAAUUGGGUAUAGGGGCGAAAGACCAAUCGAACCAUCUAGUAGCUGGUUCCCUCCGAAGUUUCCCUCAGGAUAGCUGGUGCAAUAAGAAAUCUAAUAUAUAAUCUUAUCUGGUAAAGCGAAUGAUUAGAGGCCUUGGGGCCGAAACGACCUCAACCUAUUCUCAAACUUUAAAUGGGUAAGAACCUCAUCUUUCUUGAUCUGAAGAUAUAGAGGUUUAGAUAUAUUGUGCCCAGUGGGCCACUUUUGGUAAGCAGAACUGGCGCUGUGGGAUGAACCAAACGUGAUGUUACGGCGCCAAAAUUAAUGACUCAUAUUGAUACCAUGAAAGGCGUUGGUUGCUUAAAACAGCAGGACGGUGGACAUGGAAGUCGUAAUCCGCUAAGGAGUGUGUAACAACUCACCUGCCGAAGCAACUAGCCCUUAAAAUGGAUGGCGCUCAAGUCAUAUGCCUAUACAUCACCGCUAGGGUAAGAGAAUUUUGUUACAUUUAAUAAUUCAAAUUCAUGAAACCCUAGUGAGUAGGAGGGUACAAUGGUGUGCGCAGAAGUGUUUGGCGUGAGCCUGCAUGGAGCCGCCAUUGGCACAGAUCUUGGUGGUAGUAGCAAAUAAUCGAAUGAGAUCUUGGAGGACUGAAGUGGAGAAGGGUUUCGUGUGAACAGUGGUUGAUCACGAGUUAGUCGGUCCUAAGCUCUAUGCGAAAGCUGUUUAAUUUAUGUUUAGGAUAAGAGAAUUUUUUACAUUUAUGUAUUAAAUUUAUGAAAUCCUAGUGAGUAGGAGGGUACAAUGGUGUGCGCAGAAGUGUUUGGCG
Molecule: ribosomal RNA, 1495 nt
Filed under: unidentified
Description: Xenoplatyura sp. 2 NB-2020 partial 28S ribosomal RNA
Rfam family: Eukaryotic large subunit ribosomal RNA
Source: RNAcentral